GGGCCCAGCGGGCUGUUGAUUGGAACUGGUCGUAGGCCCUCCCCCGAGGUGGUGCCGGAGGGGGGAUGAUGGGUCGAGAGGUGUGUCUAUGUGGAAGCGAGAUGACCGGCAGGAAGUUGCCCCAAUGGGCUGCGGAGUGGUUAGUGAGUGCGUGACGGACAAACCCGUAGGCCAACGACUGGCCUUCAGUGUCUGUGGUCUCAUCCAAUGGAGCAGCGCCAGGGCGGGGCCGCGGCUCGGGUUUAAUGAGACUCCAUUGGGCUGUAAUCAGUGUCAUGUCGGAUUCAUGUCAACGACAACAACAGGGGGACACAAAAUGGCGGCGGCUUAGCUCCUACCCCUGGCGGCGGCGGCAGCGGUGGCGGAGGCGACGGCACCUCCUCCAGGCGGCAGCCGCGGCUUCUUUUUCAGGCAGCGGCAGCGCCCCCCGGCAGGCGUGGUGGUGGUGGCGCGCAGCCAGGGGGUACCGGGGAUUGAACUCAGCACCGUGUGCUUGCCAGGCAGGCAGUUUGAAGCACCACUGAGCUACAUGCCGGGCCUCUGAAGGCAGCUUUAAACCUGUCAGGUGGAAGGCAUCAUGUGAAUAAAAG
Heterocephalus glaber (naked mole-rat) is the source of this 590-nucleotide long non-coding RNA. The record is from Ensembl. NCBI's taxonomy places the organism in Eukaryota, Metazoa, Chordata, Mammalia, Rodentia, Bathyergidae.